RNAcentral lists this long non-coding RNA (546 nucleotides) under Olea europaea subsp. europaea. Lineage: Eukaryota; Viridiplantae; Streptophyta; Magnoliopsida; Lamiales; Oleaceae. The record is from RNAcentral.
CUCGAUUGUACUAUAAAGUUCCAAAAAUAGGUAGCCAGUAUACAAUAAUAUUCCAAAAUAUUACAAAGAAAUAAAUUACGGAGACUUAUCUUAUGAAGAACAACAAAACCGGCCUCUAUUCCACAAAGGAAUCACACUAGAUCACAAAGAUCUCACCAAGAACAUGAAUUGCUCUCUCUCAAGUUAUUCAACAUCAAGAACAUAUUACCCAACAAGUAACAUUCCAUCAAGGAACACAACAAAACCAGCCACUACCGCACAUAGGAAGAGACCGAGACCACUAAGAUCUCACAUGAAAUCGGGUAAAACUCAAAUCCCAUAGAUUUGACUUAACCAAAACUGAAAUAGAACAAUAACCAUGUGGAUCUAAAAUAUUUCUUGAUGAUAACAGGUUUUAUUUUCAGAAAAUAUUCCAAGAAUCAAGCCCUAAUCUCACUAAGUAGAAAGGAUUUUUUGCAAAGAUGAGAGAGAGAGAUGAAGGGCCGAAUUUUCAGGGAGAAGAGAGAGAGAGAGAGAGACUUUUUCUUUUGGAGAGUGAGACGUGAG